ACCUAUCACAAAUUAAAAGCAUUCCGAAACAUGAUGUUCGCCCCAAAACGUGUUUGUAGUGUAUGUAUCACCGAACGAUCCCGUUAGGGUUCUACAACAUUUGCACAACGGCUUCGUCCGCUGAAUGCGACGUAAGAGUGGGUUAACCCCAUCAUGAUCUGAAUAUACGAAAAGUAAUCCGGAUCCCGUUUACUGUUGUUUGGAAAAUGUACGAAAUCAUGGAGCGACACCAUACGAUCAUAUAAUUAAUAUUACAUCUAGAGAAUGCGAGGAAUCGGAGUUGGUUCAAAUAAUAAUACUACUUAUUGGAAUAAAGUAUGCAAACCUAAGAAACAUACAGGAAGAAUAAUUUAAAACUCAACGGAAGAUCUAGAGGUAUCUUAUUAAAGAGGAACAGCAUCAGAGGUUUUCGGGAAGAAUAGAUUUGUUACACUAAAAAUUCCAGAAAAAAAUCCAAACUCAUUACAGAAAUUGUUUAAAGGGACCUACUACAUUUUUCUAUGGAAGAGUAAAGGCAAACGAAACAAGUUAAUGAAUCGAAUAACUUUAAAAUAAAUAACACAGAUCUACUAAUUUGUAUUUUGUUGCUGUUUUCAAAAUUAUUUGUAAUUUUUUGCCCGAUUCUCAAAAAUUAUUAUCUGUGAAUAGUUUCCACUUUUUUCAGCAUAAAAAAUAUUCUCGCAGGUUAUCACAUUGCACCAAAAAACAUUCUACAUUAUAUUUUCAAAUUUAUUUUGUCCAGGUUUUUAAAAACACAUACAGGCUUUGUUAGUGAACCUAAAGGAACAGAAAACUACUACAUUUCAGAUUGUGAUCUAAUAAGGGAGAGAGGAAAUAGAAAACAGUUGCCCUAGAUGAAAUGGAGAGAUUGGCAGAAAACAAGAAGGAAUGGAAAUAUUGAACAGAAUCCUCUUCCAAUAACUGAAAAUGUAGAAGGAAAAUGAAGAUUCUUUGUAUACUUUUUUUACAAAAUCUCUAUUAUCAGAAAUUAUCUAUGAAUAGUUUUCAAGUUUUCAAAACAUUCUACAUUAUUUUCUUGUUAAUUUUGUAUAGUAUUGUAAAAAAUGACUUUGGGACAGAGAACAUAUAAAUUUGAUGAGGUCAGAUUCAAAUAUGUAAGGGAAAUAGGGGAUAAAUAAUAACCCUAGAUGAAAUAAAGAGAUGGGCAGGGGACAGGAAGGAAUGGAAACAUUCAACCAAAGCAGUCUUUCGACAAACAAUUAAACCGCUAAAAAAUUAUAUUGAACAUAUUUUACAAUUUAGCUAUAAUGUCAUAAUUGCCAAACAGUUUUCAGAAUUAUAAAAUACAAAAUCUAUUAAUUUCUAUAAAAAAAUCACCAUAAUAGGAAUCAAUUUUGGUAUCCUACAAGCCCUUACUAAAUCACAAAUUUGAUUCUUUACUAACUUUCAACCUAUGUGAUUAAAAUGUAUGCUAACGCAGACAAAAUAAAUCCAUCACACAUCUUUUGAAAUAAUAAAAUUACUACUAAGAUAAUGGCAGUUAAUCUAAAUCCUUUUCAUUGGUUUUUGCAAACAUAAGCUGAAGAGUGUAAAUAAAAAAGGUACUAAGUGUCAUUUUAAAAACAAUAUUUUUGUAAAUGCUACAACUGAAAUAUAAAGUUGUGGUGGGGUUGUGUUGAUUUUCCUUAGAAAAGUACUAACAGAAAGCCGAUCAUUAACUGCAGUUGUUCUCUGUUGUACAGUGAGAUUUGAAAGAAACUUGAAAGUUGUUUAGAAACAACUCAGAUGUUUAACUAAAUAAGAAGCAAUUUUCAAAGGACUAGUAGAUGAGCCUGCUGGAUAUGAAAUCAACUGAUGUUAACGCCUAGGAAGCAGAUGGCUAGUUCCACGAUUAUUUCAGAUCUUUUAUUUUUUGAAACUUAGUCCUUUUUUAUUUCGGCUCUUCAUCUUCAUCAUCUGAUAAUUUUUCAUAAAGUUAAUAACCUGAAAACCCCAAUUAUAUCUAAUAUUAGUUAUAAACCAUAAUCAGUUCUACAUAGCCAAUAGGCAAGGCAAGUAUUCUAAAUUUAUAAACUUUUUUUUUUCUGAAAAAUAUGUUUUAAUUCCAGCAUAUACUCAAAUAGAAAAUAAUAUUAAUAUAUUAAAAAACUAUUGAACCAGCAGUUGAUAAAAUAUACAGAGCAUCUCAACUAAACUAUAAAUAUGUUUUUCGUGAUGAGUCGUCUCAAAUUUUAGGUCUCUUUUGAUAGGAAAAUAAUAUGUAACAAUUGACGUUUCCACUUAUUUCAGUCUUUAUCAAAACGAAAAACAUAUAAAAAGCUUCAAGAAGUAAAAAGUUAAAAAAAACUAUAAAUAUGUACAGAAAAAAUUUAACUAAGCUGUUAAAUCUAUCAUCAUAUGGAAGCUAUCAAAUGAAAUUUAUGAAUUUGACAACAAAUCAACAGAUCAACUGUUUAUUCUGUGCCAAAUUGAUCCAAUGAUUCUAAAGAUUUUUUUGGUACAAUAAUUUUAAUGAGGUUACUAGUACCAACAAAAAAAAAUAGUGUUAAGAAUUAACUUUGUUGUAUAAUGUAAUCUAUAUAAUAGAAAAUCGAAGUAAAAUAAAAAUGAAACCAUUUAGUUUUAUAUUUAUAUCAAAAUUUUAGUCAGAGUUUACUUUGCAGUGAUAAUCAUCUCAUACUGAACGAUACUCCGUAUAUUCUCAAUCGCACUCUACUACACAUGUUUUAAUAUCACUUAUUGUUAUUCUGGAUUACAAAUUAAAUUGAUUUAUAAAUUGCAA
This is a long non-coding RNA of Diorhabda carinulata, 2743 nucleotides long. RefSeq lists it as uncharacterized. The transcript is spliced from 2 exons. NCBI's taxonomy places the organism in Eukaryota, Metazoa, Arthropoda, Insecta, Coleoptera, Chrysomelidae. The record is from RefSeq and is a predicted model, not a curated record.